UGGGAGUACAAACAUAAAGGUUAGGGACCCUCUUAUCCAGAGAGUAUACUUGCAUAAUACAUACACAUUGUCCAGGUCUAUAUGGGUAAUUGGGGACAAGACAGCUGGUGUUGAAUGUGUGUAUAUUUGUGACCUCUGUGUGCACUGUGUAUGAUGUACGUGUGCAGGAUUUUGAUUGGAGCUUGGCAUCCUAUACUAUGAAACACUAAAGAUGACCUCUGAGCUGGCUUAACUAGAGCACAACUCACCCUGUUCCUUUCUCUGACACUCACCCAGAUUGACUAGCAUGGCCAGUUGUCCUCUAGCUUGGAUUGGUCAAUACAUCUCAUGGGUUGCACAGUAUCUGGUUUGGUAAUAUCAAUAUUGCUUCAACUCUAAUUAGUUGAUUGUGCUGAGGUAACUGUUGCUACGACCAUGUAGCUCGUAUUGGACAGGCUGUCGCUAUGGGGUGACAGUGCUGGCUGUGUGCACUGUUCCCAAUAGUGGGCCCUGUCUCGCUCUCUCUCUGUGUGUGACAAUGCUAUGGCAUUGUUGAAGAUUUUUUUUAAAGAAUUGACAGACAACGAAGUCUUGUUCUCCUUGUUAUGCUGUUGUUCCUCCUCCCUUGGUGCAGGUCUAUUUCAACUACAGGGUUGUCAACUCUCCUGUUGUUCCUCCUCCCUUGGUGCAGGUCUAUUUCAACUACAGGGUUGUCAACUCUCCUGUUGUUCCUCCUCCCUUGGGGCUGGUCUAUUUCAACUACAGGGUUGUCAACUCUCCUGUUGUUCCUCCUCCCUUGGUGCAGGUCUAUUUCAACUACAGGGUUGUCAACUCUCCUGUUGUUCCUCCUCCCUUGGUGCAGGUCUAUUUCAACUACAGGGUUGUCAACUCUCCUGUUGUUCCUCCUCCCUUGGUGCAGGUCUAUUUCAACUACAGGGUUGUCAACUCUCCUGUUGUUCCUCCUCCCUUGGUGCUGGUCUAUUUCAACUACAGGGUUGUCAACUCUCCUGUUGUUCCUCCUCCCUUGGUGCUGGUCUAUUUCAACUACAGGGUUGUCAACUCUCCUGUUGUUCCUCCUCCCUUGGUGCUGGUCUAUUUCAACUACAGGGUUGUCAACUCUCCAGCUAGCACUUUUUUUUAAUGACAUUAAACCAACUUUUAAGCUCAAAAGCAUUUGUUUAGGUCUUUAAAGUGUGUGAGCCAAUCCCAGUCUUGCUAUGAAGGAUCGGAAGUUUCUGGGCAACAUUUAUUGUUAUAUAAUGUAUCUGGGCAACAGUUACCAUUGUAUUGAAGCAGACUGGGGCGGCGUCAAAUCCUAAUGUUUGUAAACUAUUGGUCAACUUCAAACUACUAACUAUAUCGCCAUGCUACAUACAACACACAACUAAAUCUCACACAGUCAACAAAAACAUCAACACUACACACAAGCACCUGCCUCAAAUAAUUCCCUUCAUCUACCUCUAGAAGUGUAAAUAAAAAGGUAAGAUCAAAGUUCGACAUUUAAAACAGCAGACCGACACACAGAUUUAAAAGGUCAUGAGGUGACUAGGUAACAGGAUAGAGGUCACACCAGCAAACACAACUACUGGUCACGAGACUGAAUCCUAACUUGAGAUCCAAGUAAACAAACGUUCAAGCAAUCUUGCACUGAAGUCAAUGGCAGAUUUUUGAGAAAACUCAAGUUACGCACAGAUCUUGAGUUAGGAUUUGCCCUCUAAUGCCCUUAACCACAUAUCUAGGAUCAGCUACCCCUACUAUAGCCCUCGUCUGAACUAUGUAAUACUUCACACAAAAACUGACUUGGGACCAGUGGUUAAGAGCAUGAAGUGACCACACACACGGGAAGUCAGAGGCAGGGAUUGGCUGGUAAGCCUGAGGGGGUGGCCAUCCAUAAGC
Oncorhynchus keta (chum salmon) is the source of this 1875-nucleotide long non-coding RNA. RefSeq lists it as uncharacterized. The record is from RefSeq and is a predicted model, not a curated record. The transcript has 4 exons. Lineage: Eukaryota; Metazoa; Chordata; Actinopteri; Salmoniformes; Salmonidae.